This is a long non-coding RNA of Branchiostoma belcheri (Belcher's lancelet), 496 nucleotides long. RefSeq lists it as uncharacterized. NCBI's taxonomy places the organism in Eukaryota, Metazoa, Chordata, Leptocardii, Amphioxiformes, Branchiostomatidae. The transcript is spliced from 3 exons. The record is from RefSeq and is a predicted model, not a curated record.
UGACACCACAAAUCAUGACGUAUAGUCACAUGCAACCAUUUGCAAUGGGAACAACGUUGCUACAGGGUAGCGAACAGAGUCUUGCGAGAAUUGGUUGAGUCUUUAGCACCUCUAAGCCGCGAGAAUGCAGAAAUUACGAAGAAAACUGGCUGGUCUCUCUUCGGAUGUGUAUUAAAGAGCCAACACUAGUUAAAGGGAACCCUGUACUGCUGUUGCCAAUAUUAACGAGGGAGACUUCAGUUUGCAAAACGCACACCAUCCUGUCUCCCUGGAUGCACCUGUAGCAGAUGGGUUUCCAGUGUGGACUUGAGCCGUCUCACCGCAUCCGGGAUGGAGCUGGUUGAUCGGUUGAUCCGAUUGAAAACGGCAUGGACCUGUUCCACCCCUUGCUCCCCAUGAAAACCCAACCCAACCCCCCAACACCUUAUCCAGGGUAUGACAUGUUCUUCCAAGAGGUGCAUCUUGACGGAUACAGACGAGGUAGGGAACAGCUCUC